Molecule: ribosomal RNA, 397 nt
Filed under: uncultured bacterium
Lineage: Bacteria
Description: bacterial SSU rRNA
Rfam family: Bacterial small subunit ribosomal RNA
Source: RNAcentral
GGAAUUUUCCGCAAUGGGCGAAAGCCUGACGGAGCAACGCCGCGUGGGCGAUGAAGUUCUUCGGAAUGUAAAGCCCUUUCAGCAGGGACGAAGCGAGUGACGGUACCUGCAGAAGAAGCAUCGGCUACCUACGUGCCAGCAGCCGCGGUAAUACGUAGGGGGCGAGCGUUGUCCGGAUUUAUUGGGCGUAAAGGGCGUGUAGGCGGUCUGGUAAGUCGGGGGUGAAAACCCAGAGCUCAACUCUGGGACUGCCUCCGAUACUGCUGGACUUGAGUGCUCUAGAGGGUAGUGGAAUUGCCGGUGUAGCAGUGAAAUGCGUAGAGAUCGGCAGGAACACCAGUGGCGAAGGCGACUGCCUGGGGAGUAACUGACGCUGAGGCGCGAAAGCUGGGGGAGC